CGGUGAGGGCCAUGGAUUUGGAGUUUCCUUCUCAGUGGUCUGGCGCCCUAAGAAAGGGAGCGCCGGGUACUGCAAUUAGAAGGGGGGCUGCGAUCAGAAGCUGCUCAUUAAGCCCGAGAGGAUUGGUAUUGAGGGUUUGGCAGCCUUGCUCUUUUAGGCACCGCUCCCCUCCCCGGGAGGGGGCGCAUAGCCAACCCCACCCCUCCAGCCGGGUGGUGGGGGGCAGCAAAUGAGCCGGUGAGUCAGGGAUUCCACCGGGAUUUCCAGGGGGUGCAAGGUGCGUUCAGAGACUGAAUAUUCCAUGAACUCUGCAUUCACCUUAGUAUCGCAUUUGCAGCGUUCUUCACGGAUCGGGAGACCGAGAAGUACCAUGGUUGAAAUUUUACGGAGGGGGAUACAAUGGACUCGGCGAAAAAACUUGAGAACGUUUUCGGCUGCGGGUUGCGCGAAGGCCAUGCCCACCCCAAAAGGAGGGCGGGGCCCGCCGUGCGCAAACAAACAACGGUAGAGACACUGAGGGGGGGGGGGGCCCCGAGGGCCCACCCAGCAAUAACCUUCCGUAGGGGGAACCUGCGGAAGGAUCAUUA
This 587-nucleotide ribosomal RNA is filed under the name Aspergillus westerdijkiae. RNAcentral describes it as "partial 18S ribosomal RNA". The record is from RNAcentral. Lineage: Eukaryota; Fungi; Ascomycota; Eurotiomycetes; Eurotiales; Aspergillaceae.